AUUCCAUUGAUGCCCUUCUAGGGACCAUUAAUUUUAUCAAUACCCUUUAAAAAUUAAUAAUAUCACAAUUGCUAUUUUAUGCAAUUUGUAUAAUUAUAGAUUUAUUAAAAUAAGCAAAUAUAAAUUUUAUAACGAAAAAAACAUCAAACAAUAUAAAUCAAAUAAAUUGAAAUGUUGAAUAACAAAAUUAAAAUUUUAAAGAAUUUAGUAGAUUAGUCAAAACAGAGUAGCUCUUUACCAAACGGAAUUAAGUGUAUUCUUCAAAUUUCUUAUGGUG
Molecule: long non-coding RNA, 277 nt
Filed under: Ananas comosus (pineapple)
Lineage: Eukaryota; Viridiplantae; Streptophyta; Magnoliopsida; Poales; Bromeliaceae
Description: long non-coding RNA (ACOM_LNC038553)
Source: RNAcentral